This 447-nucleotide ribosomal RNA is filed under the name uncultured bacterium. RNAcentral's name for it is "bacterial SSU rRNA". It matches the Rfam family "Bacterial small subunit ribosomal RNA", at positions 355 to 825 of the family's 1533-position model. The record is from RNAcentral.
UGGGGAAUUUUGGGCAAUGGGGGAAACCCUGACCCAGCAACGCCGCGUGAAGGAUGAAGUAUUUCGGUAUGUAAACUUCGAAAGAAUAGGAAGAAUAAAUGACGGUACUAUUUAUAAGGUCCGGCUAACUACGUGCCAGCAGCCGCGGUAAUACGUAGGGACCAAGCGUUGUUCGGAUUUACUGGGCGUAAAGGGCGCGUAGGCGGUGUGUCAAGUCAGUUGUGAAAUCUCCGAGCUUAACUCGGAACGGCCAACUGAUACUGUCACACUAGAGUACAGAAGGGGCAAUCGGAAUUCUUGGUGUAGCGGUGAAAUGCGUAGAUAUCAAGAGGAACACCUGAGGCGAAGGCGGGUUGCUGGGCUGAUACUGACGCUGAGGCGCGAAAGCUAGGGUAGCAAACGGGAUUAGAUACCCACGUAGUCCCUGAGCGGGCUGGCAAGGCGCAU